Long non-coding RNA from Acipenser ruthenus (sterlet), 593 nucleotides. RefSeq lists it as uncharacterized. The transcript has 3 exons. The record is from RefSeq and is a predicted model, not a curated record. NCBI's taxonomy places the organism in Eukaryota, Metazoa, Chordata, Actinopteri, Acipenseriformes, Acipenseridae.
CGUGCUUGUGGGACGAUCUCAUUUUACGCAUGCGUAAUGCACCAGGGAUACCGAUUUCUUUGAGGGGGGGUUACUGAAUUGGUAACACCUGUUCACAGAGCACGCAGGAAGGACGCUGCAAGUCCACUGAACCUGUGCACACGCUCUGUGAACUCCGUUACCCGUCUACCUGGGCUCAGACCCCAAACAACAAUGACCCACACAGUGUUUAUGAAAAAUCGGCACAGACUAAAUCCUGGAAAUUCCUCACAGCUCAUAAAAAUGUUCCAGUCUGGCCCGAUGCAUUACUUUACUUCUCUGCACAGCAGCGUCGAUUACAACAUUCUUACAAGAUAGAAUGUACCCACAUUAAGAAUAUUUAAUCUAGCCCAGGUUAUUCAAUAAACGAACCAAUUAAUUAACCAAAUUAUUUCAAAAGGGAAAACUAAUAGUAUUUUAACAGUGUCUAUUUAUGUUCUUUUAAAAUGAAAGAUGACUCUGUGUACCAUGUUUAUGAAGAUGAAAAUCUUUGAGCAUCUAUAAACUUAACCUUGUGCAAUACAAUGUAAUUAAGAUGCAACUAGUACUUCUGAAUAAAAGAAUACUGUACUUUA